GCAUAUACAUUUAAGGGGGAGCAAUUUGUAACAAUGAAAAUGAUCAAAUCUAAAAUUUCUAUUAAAUUUCAGAAUUUGGCACAUAGAAUUUCAGAAUUUGGCACGCACCUUUCACACCUCGAUACAUAACCUGAAACUCAUGCUUUAUCUCAAAUUUUUGGAGUUUUAUCUUUAAUGAAAUAUAAAUGAAAGGGGGAGCAAUUCAAAAAGUCAAAUUGGAAACAUUUGAAUGAUAUAGGGGGAGACUUCACUCUCAUAUUUGAAAAGCUGAAAUUCAGCAACUUGAGCCCUUUUAAAACUAAUUUUAAGAUAAGUAUCAAUAGGCUCAUACUCUUUAUUUUGUAAUCAUCAAAAAGGGAGAGAUUGAGGAUGAUAGUGUUAUUUUGAUGAUUAACAAGCAAUAAUCAAGAGUAUGUUAUAAGUUAAUUCGAUACUUCAUUUAUAAGUCUGUUACUCUCAGUAUAUUUGUAUAAUAAGUUAAAGAUGCAUUUCAUUGUUUACUUGGAUGAAUCUAACCUUGAGUUGUAGCAAAGUGUGGAUUGAGUCGACCCAAAGGAUGAUUGGGUCGACCCCGGCACAUCAAGAAAGCAUUUGGCACACUUCUGCAAAAAUGGCACAGAUGAACA
This 626-nucleotide long non-coding RNA is filed under the name Phoenix dactylifera (date palm). RNAcentral's name for it is "long non-coding RNA (PDAC_LNC019306)". The record is from RNAcentral. Lineage: Eukaryota; Viridiplantae; Streptophyta; Magnoliopsida; Arecales; Arecaceae.